Molecule: ribosomal RNA, 311 nt
Filed under: uncultured Alphaproteobacteria bacterium
Lineage: Bacteria; Pseudomonadati; Pseudomonadota; Alphaproteobacteria
Description: bacterial SSU rRNA
Rfam family: Bacterial small subunit ribosomal RNA
Source: RNAcentral
ACGAACGCUGGCUCUAUGCCUAACACAUGCAAGUCGAACGGGAUCCUGGCUUCGGUCAGGUGAGAGUGGCGCACGGGUGAGUAACGCGUGGGAACCUGCCCAGUGGUGGGGGAUAACUGCGGGAAACUGCAGCUAAUACCGCAUGAGCCCGAGAGGGGAAAGAUUUAUCGCCAUUGGAGGGGCCCGCGUUCGAUUAGGUAGUUGGUGGGGUAAAGGCCUACCAAGCCGACGAUCGAUAGCUGGUCUGAGAGGAUGAUCAGCCACACUGGGACUGAGAUACGGCCCAGACUCCUACGGGAGGCAGCAGUGGG